This 301-nucleotide ribosomal RNA is filed under the name uncultured bacterium. RNAcentral's name for it is "partial 16S ribosomal RNA". It matches the Rfam family "Bacterial small subunit ribosomal RNA", at positions 509 to 809 of the family's 1533-position model. The record is from RNAcentral.
CAGUCGCCACGGUAAUACGGAGGGAGCUAGCGUUGUUCGGAAUUACUGGGCGUAAAGCGCGCGUAGGCGGUUACUCAAGUCAGAGGUGAAAGCCCGGGGCUCAACCCCGGAACUGCCUUUGAAACUAGGUGACUAGAAUCUUGGAGAGGUCAGUGGAAUUCCGAGUGUAGAGGUGAAAUUCGUAGAUAUUCGGAAGAACACCAGUGGCGAAGGCGACUGACUGGACAAGUAUUGACGCUGAGGUGCGAAAGCGUGGGGAGCAAACAGGAUUAGAUACCCGUGUAGUCCCUGUCUCUUAUAA